CGAGUGAGCGGGAAGAGCUCAAAUUUGAAAUCUGGUGGCCUCAGGUCAUCCGAGUUGUAAUCUAUAGAAGUGUUUUCCGUGCUGGCUCAUGUACAAGUCCCUUGGAACAGGGCGUCAUAGAGGGUGAGAAUCCCGUCCUUGACAUGAACUACCAGUGCUCUGUGAUACAUUUUCAACGAGUCGAGUUGUUUGGGAAUGCAGCUCAAAAUGGGUGGUAAAUUCCAUCUAAAGCUAAAUAUUGGCGAGAGACCGAUAGCGAACAAGUACCGUGAGGGAAAGAUGAAAAGCACUUUGGAAAGAGAGUUAAACAGUAUGUGAAAUUGUUGAAAGGGAAACGAUUGAAGUCAGUCGUGCUCUUUGGAUUCAGCCGGUUCUGCCGGUGUACUUCCUUUGAGUGGGGUCAACAUCAGUUUUGAUCGCUGGAUAAAGGCGGGAGGAAUGUAGUACCCUCGGGUAAACUUAUAGCCUCUUGUCACAUACAGUGGUUGGGACUGAGGAACGCAGCAUGCCUUUAAGGCCGGGAUUCGUCCACGUACAUGCUUAGGAUGUUGACAUAAUGGCUUUAAACGACCCGUCUUGAAACACGGAC
RNAcentral lists this ribosomal RNA (589 nucleotides) under Filobasidium oeirense. Its description in RNAcentral is "eukaryotic LSU rRNA". It matches the Rfam family "Eukaryotic large subunit ribosomal RNA", at positions 90 to 666 of the family's 3401-position model. The record is from RNAcentral. Lineage: Eukaryota; Fungi; Basidiomycota; Tremellomycetes; Filobasidiales; Filobasidiaceae.